CAGCAGCCGCGGGAAUACAGAGGGUGCGAGCGUUAAUCGGAUUUACUGGGCGUAAAGCGUGCGUAGGCUGCUUCUUAAGUCGGAUGUGAAAUCCCUGAGCUUAACUUAGGAAUUGCAUUCGAUACUGGGAAGCUAGAGUAUGGGAGAGGAUGGUAGAAUUCCAGGUGUAGCGGUGAAAUGCGUAGAGAUCUGGAGGAAUACCGAUGUCGAAGGCAGCCAUCUGGCCUAAUACUGACGCUGAGGUACGAAAGCAUGGGGAGCAAACAGGAUUAGAUACCCCUGUAGUCCCUGUCUCUUAUAC
RNAcentral lists this ribosomal RNA (301 nucleotides) under uncultured bacterium. RNAcentral's name for it is "partial 16S ribosomal RNA". It matches the Rfam family "Bacterial small subunit ribosomal RNA", at positions 509 to 807 of the family's 1533-position model. The record is from RNAcentral.